Long non-coding RNA from Oncorhynchus tshawytscha (Chinook salmon), 565 nucleotides. The record is from Ensembl. Lineage: Eukaryota; Metazoa; Chordata; Actinopteri; Salmoniformes; Salmonidae.
UCAGUAACAGGGAGGGACAGGAACAACAGUCAGUAAAAGGGAGGGACAGGAAGAACAGUCAGUAACCGGAAGAACAGUCAGUAACAGGAAGAGCAGUCAGUAACAGGGAGGGACAGGAACAACAGUCAGUAACAAACAGUAAGUAACAGGGAGGGACAGGAACAACAGUCAGUAACAGUCAGUAACAGGAAGAACAGUCAGAAACAGGGAGGGACAGGAACAACAGUCAGUAACAGGGAGGGACAGGAACAACAGUCAGUAACAGUCAGUAACAGGAAGAGCAGUCAGUAACAGGGAGGGACAGGAACAACAGUCAGUAACAGGGAGGGACAAGAAGAACAGUCAGGAACAGGAAGAACAGUCAGUAACAGGGAGGGACAGGAACAACAGUCAGUAACAGGGAGGGACAGGAACAACAGUCAGUAACAGGAAGAACAGUCAGUAACAGGGAGGGACAGGAACAACAGUCAGUAACAGGAAGAACAGUCAGUAACAGGGAGGGACAGGAAGAACAGUCAGUAACCGGAAGAACAGUCAGUAACAGGGAGGGACAGGAACAACAGUC